RNAcentral lists this ribosomal RNA (453 nucleotides) under Triticum aestivum (bread wheat). RNAcentral's name for it is "partial small subunit ribosomal RNA". The record is from RNAcentral. Lineage: Eukaryota; Viridiplantae; Streptophyta; Magnoliopsida; Poales; Poaceae.
AUGGCGAGCCCCGCGCGCAUCGACGUGGAUAAGCUGAGCGUGGAGCAGCUUAAGGCGCUCAAGGAGCAGACCGAUCUGGAGGUCAAUCUCCUCCAGGACAGCCUAUCCAAGAUCCGCACCGCCGCCACCCGCCUCGAGAACGCCACGGCCGCCCUCCACGAGCUCUCCCUCCACCCCCAAGGGAAGAAGCUGCUCGUGCCGCUCACGGCGUCCCUCUAUGUACCCGGCACGCUCGACGACGCCGAGAAGGUCCUCGUCGACGUUGGCACCGGCUACUACAUUGAGAAAACUAUGACUCAAGGAAAAGAAUACUGUGAAAGGAAAAUUAAUUUGCUGAAGUCCAACUUCGAUGAACUACUUGAGAUGGCGACCAAAAAGAAGAGCAUAGCAGACGAAAUGGGCAUGUUUCUGCAAGCCAAGCUGAGGCAGGCAUCACCGAGCUCGAGUUCGUGA